RNAcentral lists this small RNA (161 nucleotides) under Chelonoidis abingdonii (Abingdon island giant tortoise). Its description in RNAcentral is "TUC338 (ENSCABG00000001545.1)". Lineage: Eukaryota; Metazoa; Chordata; Testudines; Testudinidae. The record is from RNAcentral.
CAGACAGUUUUGGUGACUAAAGCCUUCCUUUUACCCAGAGAACAGGUACAGCAUAGACAGCAGCAGAGUAAGCUUCCCAGCACACCAGCCCUGAGCUGGAGGGACCUCCUUAGGUUAAGAAAAUAAUUCAGUUUCAAGGUCCAUUCAGCUCUCAGGCAAAC